UGCGGGAUCGUCUAACGGUAGGACGCUUGGCUCUGAACCAAGAAAUUGGGGUUCGAUUCCCUGUCCCGCAGCAA
RNAcentral lists this transfer RNA (74 nucleotides) under Candidatus Harrisonbacteria bacterium CG10_big_fil_rev_8_21_14_0_10_40_38. RNAcentral's name for it is "tRNA-Gln". It matches the Rfam family "tRNA". Rfam says of the family: Transfer RNA (tRNA) molecules are approximately 80 nucleotides in length. Their secondary structure includes four short double-helical elements and three loops (D, anti-codon, and T loops). The record is from RNAcentral. Lineage: Bacteria; Candidatus Harrisoniibacteriota.